RNAcentral lists this ribosomal RNA (443 nucleotides) under uncultured bacterium. Its description in RNAcentral is "bacterial SSU rRNA". It matches the Rfam family "Bacterial small subunit ribosomal RNA", at positions 331 to 792 of the family's 1533-position model. The record is from RNAcentral.
CCAGACUCCUACGGGAGGCAGCAGUGGGGGAUAUUGCACAAUGGGGGAAACCCUGAUGCAGCGACGCCGCGUGAGUGAAGAAGUAAUUCGUUACGUAAAGCUCUAUCAGCAGGGAAGAAAAUGACGGUACCUGGCUAAGAAGCCCCGGCUAACUACGUGCCAGCAGCCGCGGUAAUACGGAGGAUGCGAGCGUUAUCCGGAUUUAUUGGGUUUAAAGGGUGCGCAGGCGGCACGGCAAGCCGGCGGUCAAAUCGCGGGGCUCAACCCCGGCCAGCCGUCGGAACUGCCGGGCUAGAGUGGGCGAGAAGUGCGCGGAAUGCGUGGUGUAGCGGUGAAAUGCAUAGAUAUCACGCAGAACUCCGAUUGCGAAGGCAGCGCACCGGCGCCCUACUGACGCUCAGGCACGAAAGCGUGGGUAUCGAACAGGAUUAGAUACCCUCGUA